UAUAUGAAGCGGCAGUUGCCAAGUCUAUCAGAGACAUAAUCUGUGACUAUGUGCCAGAGAACUGCACCAAGGAACUGUUAGAUUCCGACCCAUGUUUCACCGAUCCUAGCCGGUCCCACAUGUCCAGAAUGGAAAUGUAUAGAAUCUGUACUUUUAGUUUUGUUGGGGUCAUGGGUCCCUUUGUCUUCUUCAAUCUCACAAAGACUAAGUAUAUGCAGAUCUUGACUACCAUCACAAGAUGGCUCGCGAUGGGCACCAUGAUCACAUGGGCCAUUGUGCUCUUGGCGGAAGGGAAGAACCAGGGUCACCCCCCUGCGGCCGAUAUCACCAAGCUCCCUCAGUUGUUUGG
This is a long non-coding RNA of Penaeus monodon (black tiger shrimp), 349 nucleotides long. RefSeq lists it as uncharacterized. The transcript has 4 exons. NCBI's taxonomy places the organism in Eukaryota, Metazoa, Arthropoda, Malacostraca, Decapoda, Penaeidae. The record is from RefSeq and is a predicted model, not a curated record.